RNAcentral lists this ribosomal RNA (689 nucleotides) under uncultured bacterium. RNAcentral describes it as "bacterial SSU rRNA". It matches the Rfam family "Bacterial small subunit ribosomal RNA", at positions 143 to 848 of the family's 1533-position model. The record is from RNAcentral.
ACAACAGUUGGAAACGACUGCUAAUACCGCAUAAGCCCACGGAUCCGCAUGGGUCUGCGGGAAAAGGAUUUAUUCGCUUCAGGAUGGACUCGCGUCCAAUUAGCUAGUUGGUGAGGUAACGGCCCACCAAGGCGACGAUUGGUAGCCGGACUGAGAGGUUGAACGGCCACAUUGGGACUGAGACACGGCCCAGACUCCUACGGGAGGCAGCAGUGGGGGAUAUUGCACAAUGGGGGAAACCCUGAUGCAGCGACGCCGCGUGGAGGAAGAAGGUUUUCGGAUUGUAAACUCCUGUCGUUAGGGACGAUAAUGACGGUACCUAACAAGAAAGCACCGGCUAACUACGUGCCAGCAGCCGCGGUAAAACGUAGGGUGCAAGCGUUGUCCGGAAUUACUGGGUGUAAAGGGAGCGCAGGCGGACCGGCAAGUUGGAAGUGAAAACUAUGGGCUCAACCCAUAAAUUGCUUUCAAAACUGCUGGCCUUGAGUAGUGCAGAGGUAGGUGGAAUUCCCGGUGUAGCGGUGGAAUGCGUAGAUAUCGGGAGGAACACCAGUGGCGAAGGCGACCUACUGGGCACCAACUGACGCUGAGGCUCGAAAGCAUGGGUAGCAAACAGGAUUAGAUACCCUGGUAGUCCAUGCCGUAAACGAUGAUUACUAGGUGUUGGAGGAUUGACCCCUUCAGUGCCG